This 207-nucleotide ribosomal RNA is filed under the name uncultured bacterium. RNAcentral describes it as "partial 16S ribosomal RNA". It matches the Rfam family "Bacterial small subunit ribosomal RNA", at positions 568 to 774 of the family's 1533-position model. The record is from RNAcentral.
CGCGCAGGCGGCGAGAUCAGUCAGGCGUGAAAGCCCCGGGCUCAACCUGGGAUGUGCGUUUGAUACUAUCUUGCUCGAGACCGGAAGAGGAUGGCGGAAUACCCAGUGUAGAGGUGAAAUUCGUAGAUAUUGGGUGGAACACCAGUGGCGAAGGCGGCCAUCUGGUCCGGAUCUGACGCUGAGGCGCGAAAGCGUGGGGAGCAAACA